AGGAAUAUUGGUCAAUGGACGAGAGUCUGAACCAGCCAAGUAGCGUGAAGGAUGACUGCCCUAUGGGUUGUAAACUUCUUUUAUACGGGAAUAAAGUGAGGCACGUGUGCCUUUUUGUAUGUACCGUAUGAAUAAGGAUCGGCUAACUCCGUGCCAGCAGCCGCGGUAAUACGGAGGAUCCGAGCGUUAUCCGGAUUUAUUGGGUUUAAAGGGAGCGUAGGCGGACGCUUAAGUCAGUUGUGAAAGUUUGCGGCUCAACCGUAAAAUUGCAGUUGAUACUGGGUGUCUUGAGUACAGUAGAGGCAGGCGGAAUUCGUGGUGUAGCGGUGAAAUGCUUAGAUAUCACGAAGAACUCCGAUUGCGAAGGCAGCCUGCUAAGCUGCAACUGACAUUGAGGCUCGAAAGUGUGGGUAUCAAACAGGAUUAGAUACCCUGGUAGUCCACACGGUAAACGAUGAAUACUCGCUGUUUGCGAUAUACGGCAAGCGGCCAAGCGAAAGCGUUAAGUAUUCCACCUGGGGAGUACGCCGGCAACGGUGAAACUCAAAGGAAUUGACGGGGGCCCGCACAAGCGGAGGAACAUGUGGUUUAAUUCGAUGGUACGCGAGGAACCUUACCCGGGCUUAAAUUGCAGAUGAAUUACGGUGAAAGCCGUAAACCGCAAGGCAUCUGUGAAGGUGCUGCAUGGUUGUCGUCAGCUCGUGCCGUGAGGUGUCGGCUUAAGUGCCAUAACGAGCGCAACCCUUGUUGUCAGUUACUAACAGGUCAUGCUGAGGACUCUGACAAGACUGCCAUCGUAAGAUGUGAGGAAGGUGGGGAUGACGUCAAAUCAGCACGGCCCUUACGUCCGGGGCUACACACGUGUUACAAUGGGGGGUACAGAGGGCCGCUACCACGCGAGUGGAUGCCAAUCCCCAAAACCUCUCUCAGUUCGGACUGGAGUCUGCAACCCGACUCCACGAAGCUGGAUUCGCUAGUAAUCGCGCAUCAGCCACGGCGCGGUGAAUACGUUCCCG
This 1016-nucleotide ribosomal RNA is filed under the name uncultured bacterium. RNAcentral's name for it is "bacterial SSU rRNA". It matches the Rfam family "Bacterial small subunit ribosomal RNA", at positions 357 to 1376 of the family's 1533-position model. The record is from RNAcentral.